This is an RNA transcript of Leptonychotes weddellii (Weddell seal), 2138 nucleotides long. It is a transcript of the gene named small nuclear RNA activating complex polypeptide 3, with no coding region annotated. The record is from RefSeq and is a predicted model, not a curated record. Lineage: Eukaryota; Metazoa; Chordata; Mammalia; Carnivora; Phocidae.
CACGCUCCGCGAGGUCUUGAUCGCCCGGCUUUUGCAGGGAAAGGAGUGGGGCGAACAUGGCUGAAGGCAGCCGGGGCGGCCCAACGUGCCGCGGGAUGGACUGCAGGCAGGACCCGGUCUCCAGCAGUGGGAGCUGCAACUUUCCAGAGUACGAGCUUCCCGAGCUAAACACGCGCGCUUUCCAUGUGGGCGCUUUCGGGGAGCUGUGGCGUGGCCGGUUGCGCCGGGAAGGGGACUUGUCGCUGAAGGAGCCACAGGCAGCCGCGUUGCCUGGGAGCCAAGGGGUCGCCGACUGGGGCCAGGAGGAUGCUGCGGUGGCCCGGGAUCUGGGCUGCAGCCCGGAGGCAGCGGCCGAGCUGCGGACGGUGUGCGGCCUUGAUAAACUGAAGUGCCUUGAGGAGGGUGAGGAUCCAGAUGUCGUCCCAGAGAAUACCGACCUAGUGACUUUGGGGGUUAGAAAGAAACUUCUGGAACAGCGGGAAGAAACCAUAACAAUAGAUCGGGUUUGCAGACAAGAAACAUUUGCUUAUGAGAUGGAGUCACAUGCCAUAGGAAAAAAGCCUGAAAAUCCAGCAGACAUGAUUGAAGAAGGGGAGCUUAUCCUAUCUGUGAAUAUCUUAUACCCUAUUAUAUUUCAUAAGCACAAAGAACACAAACCAUACCAGACGAUGCUGGUGUUGGGCAGUCAGAAGCUCACGGAACUGAGAGAUUCAAUUUGCUGUGUCAGUGACCUCCAGAUUGGUGGGGAAUUCAGCAACACUCCUGAUCAAGCUCCUGAGCACAUAAGCAAAGACCUGUACAAAUCAGCCUUCUUUUAUUUUGAAGGGACAUUUUACAAUGAUAAAAGAUACCCCGAGUGCAGAGAUUUGAGCAGAACUAUCAUUGAAUGGUCAGAGUCCCAUGACAGAGGCUAUGGAAAAUUUCAGACCGCUAAAAUGGAAGAUUUCACCUUCAACGACCUGUAUAUUAAACUGGGUUUUCCUUACUUAUAUUGUCACCAGGGAGACUGUGAGCAUGUUGUUGUCAUUACUGACAUAAGGCUUGCGCAUUGUGAUGACUGCUUGGAUAGGACACUUUAUCCCCUUCUUAUCAAGAAGCAUUGGCUGUGGACCAGAAAAUGUUUUGUUUGUAAAAUGUACACAGCCAGAUGGGUGACGAACAAUGACAGUUUUGCACCAGAGGACCCAUGUUUCUUUUGUGAUGUUUGCUUUCGGAUGCUCCACUAUGAUUCAGAAGGCAACAAACUAGGGGAAUUCCUUGCUUAUCCUUAUGUUGAUCCUGGAACCUUUAACUAAUAAUAACAAAAAAUGUACUUUGUGAAGUAACUGUCCUCUUGGAUGGUUACUUUAUUUCCAGAACAUGCCACUGAGGAACAGGAUCCACCUGAAAUAAUCAGCUAGUUACCCACACCCCUGCAAAAGUUCACAUCACAGGUUUUCUCUUUUUUUUUAAAUCACAGGUUUUCUUAUAAAGUAACUUGUGUUUAGAAAUCUUUUAGUAUUUAUUUCAAAAUAGGGUUUUUAUUUAGUGUGUUUGCCCAUUUUUAAGUGUGUUUAUCAUACUAAGUUGUAGGAGUACUUUAUAUUUUUUUGAAUACAAAUCCUGUCAGAUUCAAGUAUUCUGGUUUUUAGCCAGUCUGUGGCUUGCCUAAUCAUUCUGUGUCCAGAGUACUUUUUGCUAAUCUAUAGUUAGAAAAAUUCAGUUAAUCAUACAUCAAGUGGUGGAAGUAUUUUGAAAAUUCCUUGAAGAAUGUGAGAGCUAUACCUUGUACCAUGAGGCUUCCAAGGUUAUUUAUUUAAAUUCAACUGAGUUCCACAUUCCCUGGAUGGCUAAGAACAGAGAUUUACCAUACAAAUCAAAAACUGAUGAAGCCUUUAAGCCUGUAUGUUUAAAAGAUUGGCAGUGAAAUGUUUUAUGGACUUAGAUGACAUAUCCAGUUAAGUUGAUUGGUGUGCUGAGGACAAGCACCUGUUUCUGGUAUGUGUAGUGAUGGUCUCAUUCACUGAUUCAAUAAAUACACCAGAGGAUCAGUAAAAAGAAGAGGUGUCUCCCCUGGCUGGCUUAUGUUACUGUCUAAAUUUCUACUUUCAUGUUUCCAAUGAUGCUAAGUUGAACAGAUUAAAAAUUCUGCUAGAAAA